This 321-nucleotide long non-coding RNA is filed under the name Dasypus novemcinctus (nine-banded armadillo). RNAcentral describes it as "lncRNA (ENSDNOG00000052326.1)". The record is from RNAcentral. Lineage: Eukaryota; Metazoa; Chordata; Mammalia; Cingulata; Dasypodidae.
AGGAGGAGUGGGGGCAAGUGCAGGCUGGGGGUGAAAUAUGGCCCUGGGGGACGAGUCUCUAGGGGUUUGAAAAUUAACAUCAAGGCUGUCUUAGACCAGGGAAGGAAAACGGGAGACCACUGAGGAAAAACCAAAGUCCAGAUCGGGCAGAGUUCACUGGAAAUGGAGUGGAAACUGGAGCGCAGCGCCCCACGGAGGGUCCGUACGGAAGAAGAGAUGCUGUGGGAGAAUGUCGUGCGGAUGUUCGCCAGAGAUUUGGAACAGAAGAGAAAGCAAAGAUCCCCCAAGGUGAGUGUCCAGUUCUUGCUCUUGUUCUGUCUU